This 741-nucleotide long non-coding RNA is filed under the name Mustela putorius furo (domestic ferret). RNAcentral describes it as "lncRNA (ENSMPUG00000026076.1)". Lineage: Eukaryota; Metazoa; Chordata; Mammalia; Carnivora; Mustelidae. The record is from RNAcentral.
GGUAAAGCCAACCAAGGAGGUGGGGGCAGUGCGGGAAGACUUUUGUGUGACUUGUCAAGUCAUUCAAGCUGUUGUUUAGAAAAAGGGAACCUUUUAAGGCUUUAAGCAAGGGAGUGAUACGUUUAGAUUUAGAUUUUAGCCAGUCUGCCUUGGCUGCCUUAUACUGGAGGAAGGACUAGAAGGAAAACUUGGAACCUCAGAAGCUAGUUCGGAGGUUCUGGGUGGUGUAGGUGAGAAACUAUGGGGGUAUUUUUGAUGGGAAAAGCACAAACCCUCAGUCUGGGCAUCAUUUCCCUCGAGCCUGGGAGAGAGCACAGAGUUCUGUAAGGAGGCAACACUGGACCUGAAGCUGCAAGAAGAACCAGCUCUAAUCAGAAGACAGAAAGGGAAGGAAGCACCCAUCAGGCUAUUCUGGUCUAAUCCCUAUUGUUAUAGGACCCGUGCUUCCAGAGGUAGAAGUUGUUAUGGAGAGAUGAAUAUCACUGUGGGUAGAGAGUGCUAUGGUGGAAGAAUGGCCCAUUAUAGCUGAUGAUAGCCAGAGAAGAACACACCUAUCCAGGCUCCAAGGACUGCCUUGAGAACAUGUCACAUCUGGCCAACUUCUACUGUUUGGGGUAAAAUGAGAAAAGCUGGUGGACAAAUCAUGGAAGAUUCACCUUGAAUUUGGAGAAUUAACCUCUUCUGGGGCCAUAAGUGGUUCUAUGUUAUUGGGUGAAAAUAAAAUCUAUGGCGAAAGGAAAG